Molecule: small RNA, 278 nt
Filed under: Pseudogymnoascus sp. VKM F-3775
Lineage: Eukaryota; Fungi; Ascomycota; Leotiomycetes; Thelebolales; Thelebolaceae
Description: A. fumigatus sRNA Afu_309
Rfam family: A. fumigatus sRNA Afu_309
Source: Rfam by way of RNAcentral
UUCUCACCACAUACUCGUGAAUGGCUUGACACCAGCAUCGCCUCCGGGCGCAUAAUGGAGUCGCUGUUCAGUUUGACUUCAAGGAGCCAUCAAAUCCCCAUGAUGUCAAUUAUCUAGUCAACGGGUCUGAGAUCGAUUAAGCACCUGCAAACCUCGAUGUUUUGAGCCCUUCAAGGGAGCUCGACGGAGAGAUGGGUGUCUUAAGUCACUAUAUUCCAAAUCUUUUCGCAGAUGCCGUCGGCUUAUGAUGCUAAAGACUCACCAUGGUGAAUACAGAC